ACUCCUACGGGAGGCAGCAGCAGGGAAUAUUGCACAAUGGGCGAAAGCCUGAUGCAGCGACACCGCGUGCGGGAUGAAGGCCUUCGGGUUGUAAACCGCUUUCAGGAGUGACGAAAAUGACGGUAGCUCCAGAAGAAGGCCCGGCCAACUACGUGCCAGCAGCCGCGGUAAUACGUAGGGGCCAAACGUUGUCCGGAUUUAUUGGGCGUAAAGGGCUCGUAGGCGGUUCAACAAGUCGAUCGUGAAAACCCGGGGCUCAACUCCGGGACGCCGGUCGAAACUGUUGUGACUAGAGUUCGGUAGAGGUGAGUGGAAUUCUCGGUGUAGCGGUGGAAUGCGCAGAUAUCGAGAGGAACACCAGUAGCGAAGGCGGCUCACUGGGCCGAAACUGACGCUAAGGAGCGAAAGCAUGGGGAGCAAACAGGAUUAGAUACCCUGGUAGUCCAUGCCGUAAACGAUGAACACUAGGUGUGGCGGAUUCAUUGACAUCUGCCGUGCCGUAGCUAACGCAUUAAGUGUUCCGCCUGGGGAGUACGGCCGCAAGGCUAAAACUCAAAGGAAUUGACGGGGCCCCGCACAAGCGGCGGAGCAUGCGGCUUAAUUCGAUGCAACCCGAAGAACCUUACCUGGACUUGACAUCAUGGGUCUACCUGUAGAAAUAUAGGGUGCUUAUGCGCCCAUGACAGGUGGUGCAUGGCUGUCGUCAGCUCGUGUCGUGAGAUGUUGGGUUAAGUCCCGCAACGAGCGCAACCCCUGUCCUAUGUUGCCAGCACGUAAUGGUGGGGACUCAUGGGAGACUGCCGGGGAUAACUCGGAGGAAGGCGGGGAUGACGUCAAGUCAUCAUGCCCCUUAUGUCCAGGGCUGCACGCAUG
RNAcentral lists this ribosomal RNA (873 nucleotides) under uncultured Actinomycetes bacterium. RNAcentral's name for it is "bacterial SSU rRNA". It matches the Rfam family "Bacterial small subunit ribosomal RNA", at positions 335 to 1224 of the family's 1533-position model. The record is from RNAcentral. Lineage: Bacteria; Bacillati; Actinomycetota; Actinomycetes.